UUAAGCGACUAAGCGUACACGGUGGAUGCCCUGGCAGUCAGAGGCGAUGAAGGACGUGCUAAUCUGCGAAAAGCGUCGGUAAGGUGAUAUGAACCGUUACAGCCGGCGAUGUCCGAAUGGGGAAACCCAGUGCAAUUCGUUGCACUAUCGUUAACUGAAUACAUAGGUUAACGAGGCGAACCGGGGGAACUGAAACAUCUAAGUACCCCGAGGAAAAGAAAUCAACCGAGAUUCCCCCAGUAGCGGCGAGCGAACGGGGAGCAGCCCAGAGUCUGAAUCAGCUUGUGUGUUAGUGGAACGGUCUGGAAAGUCCGACGGUACAGGGUGAUAGUCCCGUACACCAAAAUGCACAGGUUGUGAACUCGAAGAGUAGGGCGGGACACGUGGUAUCCUGUCUGAAUAUGGGGGGACCAUCCUCCAAGGCUAAAUACUCCUGACUGACCGAUAGUGAACCAGUACCGUGAGGGAAAGGCGAAAAGAACCCCGGCGAGGGGAGUGAAAAAGAACCUGAAACCGUGUACGUACAAGCAGUGGGAGCACCUUCGGGUGUGACUGCGUACCUUUUGUAUAAUGGGUCAGCGACUUAUAUUCUGUAGCAAGGUUAACCGUAUAGGGGAGCCGCAGGGAAACCGAGUCUUAACUGGGCGUUAAGUUGCAGGGUAUAGACCCGAAACCCGGUGAUCUAGCCAUGGGCAGGUUGAAGGUUGGGUAACACUAACUGGAGGACCGAACCGACUAAUGUUGAAAAAUUAGCGGAUGACUUGUGGCUGGGGGUGAAAGGCCAAUCAAACCGGGAGAUAGCUGGUUCUCCCCGAAAGCUAUUUAGGUAGCGCCUCGUGAAUUCAUCUUCGGGGGUAGAGCACUGUUUCGGCUAGGGGGUCAUCCCGACUUACCAACCCGAUGCAAACUACGAAUACCGAAGAAUGUUAUCACGGGAGACACACGGCGGGUGCUAACGUCCGUCGUGAAGAGGGAAACAACCCAGACCGCCAGCUAAGGUCCCAAAGUCAUGGUUAAGUGGGAAACGAUGUGGGAAGGCACAGACAGCCAGGAUGUUGGCUUAGAAGCAGCCAUCAUUUAAAGAAAGCGUAAUAGCUCACUGGUCGAGUCGGCCUGCGCGGAAGAUGUAACGGGGCUAAACCAUGCACCGAAGCUGCGGCAGCGACACUAUGUGUUGUUGGGUAGGGGAGCGUUCUGUAAGCCUGCGAAGGUGUGCUGUGAGGCAUGCUGGAGGUAUCAGAAGUGCGAAUGCUGACAUAAGUAACGAUAAAGCGGGUGAAAAGCCCGCUCGCCGGAAGACCAAGGGUUCCUGUCCAACGUUAAUCGGGGCAGGGUGAGUCGACCCCUAAGGCGAGGCCGAAAGGCGUAGUCGAUGGGAAACAGGUUAAUAUUCCUGUACUUGGUGUUACUGCGAAGGGGGGACGGAGAAGGCUAUGUUAGCCGGGCGACGGUUGUCCCGGUUUAAGCAUGUAGGCUGAUUGUCCAGGCAAAUCCGGAUAAUCAAGGCUGAGGUGUGAUGACGAGGCACUACGGUGCUGAAGUAACAAAUGCCCUGCUUCCAGGAAAAGCCUCUAAGCAUCAGGUAACAUCAAAUCGUACCCCAAACCGACACAGGUGGUCAGGUAGAGAAUACCAAGGCGCUUGAGAGAACUCGGGUGAAGGAACUAGGCAAAAUGGUGCCGUAACUUCGGGAGAAGGCACGCUGGUGUGUAGGUGAAGUCCCUGCGGAUGGAGCUGAGACCAGUCGAAGAUACCAGCUGGCUGCAACUGUUUAUUAAAAACACAGCACUGUGCAAACACGAAAGUGGACGUAUACGGUGUGACGCCUGCCCGGUGCCGGAAGGUUAAUUGAUGGGGUUAUCCGUAAGGAGAAGCUCUUGAUCGAAGCCCCGGUAAACGGCGGCCGUAACUAUAACGGUCCUAAGGUAGCGAAAUUCCUUGUCGGGUAAGUUCCGACCUGCACGAAUGGCGUAAUGAUGGCCAGGCUGUCUCCACCCGAGACUCAGUGAAAUUGAACUCGCUGUGAAGAUGCAGUGUACCCGCGGCAAGACGGAAAGACCCCGUGAACCUUUACUAUAGCUUGACACUGAACAUUGAGCCUUGAUGUGUAGGAUAGGUGGGAGGCUUUGAAGCGUGGACGCCAGUCUGCGUGGAGCCAACCUUGAAAUACCACCCUUUAAUGUUUGAUGUUCUAACGUUGGCCCCU
RNAcentral lists this ribosomal RNA (2206 nucleotides) under Klebsiella pneumoniae. RNAcentral's name for it is "bacterial LSU rRNA". It matches the Rfam family "Bacterial large subunit ribosomal RNA", at positions 1 to 2236 of the family's 2925-position model. Lineage: Bacteria; Pseudomonadati; Pseudomonadota; Gammaproteobacteria; Enterobacterales; Enterobacteriaceae. The record is from RNAcentral.